Malaclemys terrapin pileata is the source of this 3552-nucleotide RNA transcript. It is a transcript of the gene named myoneurin, with no coding region annotated. Lineage: Eukaryota; Metazoa; Chordata; Testudines; Emydidae. The record is from RefSeq and is a predicted model, not a curated record. The transcript has 9 exons.
GUGCUGUCAUCAUAAAAUGGCGGCCUGAGGUGCACGGACUCGGUCUCGCCUUCCUCAGGCCAAGACGCUCUAUCCCUCUACCAAAAUGCAGUAUUCCCAUCACUGUGAGCACCUUCUAGAGAGGCUGAACAAGCAGCGAGAGACAGGCUUUCUUUGUGACUGCACGGUAGUUAUUGGUGAAUUCCAGUUCAAAGCUCACAGAAAUGUGCUUGCCUCCUUCAGCGAGUACUUUGGUGCAUUUUACAGGGAUGCCUCUGACAGUAAUGUAAUUUUGGAUCAGACUCAAGUGAAGGCCGAUGGAUUUCAGAAACUCCUGGAGUUUAUAUACACAGGAAACUUAAACCUUGACAGUUGGAAUGUUAAAGAAAUUCACCAGGCUGCUGACUAUCUCAAAGUGGAGGAGGUGGUCACUAAAUGUAAAAUAAAGAUGGAAGACUUUGCUUUUAUUGCUAAUCCCUCCUCUACAGAGAUUUCUAGUAUUACAGGAAACAUUGAACUGAACCAACAGACUUGCCUCCUCACUCUUCGAGAUUACAAUAAUCGAGAGAAAUCAGAUGCCCCUUCUGCAGACUCAGUUCAGCCACAAGCAAAAAAAGUGGGUUUAGAAAAGAAAUCUACUCAGACCAGAAAGCGAAAAAAGACUUUUAACUCUCAGAAAAACAUGAAGAAUAAACCAGUGCAAUAUCAGAAUGACAUAAUUGAGAACUCAUCAGUUGAUAUGUUUUUAGAUGCAAAUAAACUUGCCACACAGAUAACGGAACAAGCUGCCCAAGGCAGCGAUAACUCAGAGCUACAGCUAGCGUCUGUGGUGGAAAGUGAAACUUUUGCAGCACAAGAUGUUUUGGUUCAGACUAUUACAGUGAAACAAAAAUGGGGGAAGCCACAGCAGAACUGUGCAUUGAAAGAACAUAGUAUGUCUAAUAUAGCUAGUGAAAAGAACUCUUACCAACUGGAGAGCUCUGGAGAAGAACUUGAUCAGAAAUACUCCAAGGCCAAACCAGUGUGCAACACUUGUGGGAAAAUAUUUUCAGAAGCCAGUAGUCUACGACGACACAUGAGAAUACACAAAGGAGUAAAGCCUUAUGUAUGUCAACUCUGUGGGAAAGCAUUUACACAGUGUAAUCAGCUGAAAACACAUGUCAGAACGCACACAGGGGAGAAGCCAUACAAAUGUGAAUUGUGCGACAAAGGCUUUGCCCAGAAAUGCCAGCUAGUUUUCCACAGUCGCAUGCAUCAUGGAGAAGAGAAACCAUAUAAAUGUGAUGUAUGCAAUCUGCAGUUUGCAACUUCAAGCAAUCUGAAGAUCCAUGCGAGGAAGCACAGUGGUGAGAAGCCCUACGUGUGUGAUAGGUGUGGGCAGAGGUUUGCUCAGGCCAGCACGCUGACGUACCAUGUUCGUCGCCAUACAGGAGAGAAGCCGUAUGUGUGUGACACCUGUGGGAAAGCAUUUGCAGUGUCCAGUUCUCUGAUCACUCAUUCUCGAAAACAUACAGGAGAGAAACCAUAUAUAUGUGGCAUUUGUGGCAAAAGUUUUAUUUCCUCAGGAGAGCUCAAUAAACAUUUUCGGUCUCAUACAGGUGAAAGACCAUUUAUCUGUGAACUGUGUGGAAAUUCUUACACAGAUAUAAAAAAUUUAAAAAAGCACAAAACAAAAGUUCACACAGGAUCUGAAACCACCCUUGAUUCUAACACAGUUGAUAAUUCCUACAAUGAGGAAGAAUCCAUUCAGAAUCAGAAAAGCCCUUUGUCAGAAUCUGCAGAUGUGAAGCCUUCUGAGAUGUCUUUACCACUUUCUCUUCCCAUUGGGACGGAAGACCAUCAGAUGCUGCUGCCUCUAACUGGUAAUCAGUCUCCUUCCUCAGACACAUUGCUGAGGUCUGCUGUAACUGGAUAUUCAGAACCUCAGUUUAUUUUCCUGCAGCAGUUGUACUGACUGUGCGAUAUAGGAAUCAACAAGACAAUCCUGGUAGUGAACACACACAUUAUUGGUAAGGUGAACAUCAUCAUCCAAGCUGUUGGACUUACUCUUACUCAUUCAUUUGAGUGAAGACAUUUGGAUUCCGUGGCCAACUGGUAAUUCUGUGACUGAAGAAUCGCACCAAAAAGCAGGGCCUUGAAUAUAAGUGACAAAGGUCCACUCCAUGUGACCAGAUCUAAGGCUGCAUUUUCUGACCAAAAAUACAGCAAAGGUAUAAGGAUGAACGCAGUUUCAGUAAUUAGUAUUGCACAAAAGAAAAGCCGUCUUAAGCGCUCUGCCAACUCAUAUGGUUACACUGCUAUUUGGCAAGUUCAUCUUUAAAUGUAUUAAAGUACAUCUCUUCUGAUGUGCUAUUACUUAAACUUUUUUUUUUAACUUGUUCAGAAUUACUGAGUAAUGCAUAUAUUACCAGAAGAGCAAACUAACUCUGAAAAACACAUUCCUAUGUAGAAUAUGCAUUCCAUAAGAAUGUUUGUUUCAACUGUUUUUAUAUUUCUAAAAUUUUAGAUUACUACAGUAUUCUUACAUUUCAGACUUUAAAAAAAAAAAUCAGUGCUUAGAUUUAUACUGGAUCCAGUUUAGAUAUUUAUAGAGGUGACAUUUGCUUUAUAUUACUCAUUUAGUUUUCUUUAUACACAGGAAGAUCAUCAUUUUUACAAGACAACGGUUUUAAACCUCUCUUCACAGAAUACACAGGUUCCAAUAAAGUUGUUCUCUUGGCAGCAAUAAUUUAAUGAUCUGUACUCUUGAGUACCAAUUCUUAUCCUCAACUUUGAUGAAAAUGACUCAGCUGCUGAGUUCAUUUCCCUUAAAUAUAUUAAUUUAAUAUAGCAUAUAAUGUAAAAAAAUGUGUAAGAGUUCCAGCUGGGUGCUGUCGAACUUUGAGAGAGAGCUCUACUGCAUAUCUGUGACAAUGCCUGGAGUACUUUCCAUGCAUCUCUUAUGUGGAGGCUUACUGCUCUCAAGUUCAAUUUGGAGCUGGAAGUUAUAUCAAGAGGAUUGAUGGUCCAUGUAAAGAGUGAAUAGGGGGAAAACUAUCUUAAAUAGUCAAAUGCCGUUAAUAGUUAACCAAGUUUCUCCUUUCUGAAAAAUGAAAGCGGGAGCAUUAAAAUUUCUUUAAAAUCUUGAAAAAGAUUUCUAAAGAAUAUCUCUAGUGUGAUCCAAAUCUCAGCAAGUCCACUAACUUUAAUGGAAGUUUUGCCUGAGGGCUUGACUACUCUUGGAAAUUUACCAAAAUAGCUAGCUAUUCCAGAAUGGUGAGUUAUACCAGAAGAGCUACUCUGCAAUAAUUAUUUUGGUAAGUUCCAAGUGUAGAAAAGCCCUGAGUAAGGAUUACAAGACUGGACUUUGUGAGAGGCUGUUGGUAAGACUUACAGAAAUAGGUCUAGAUAAGAACUAGUAAUUGAUUUGGGUUAAGUUAUUAUUGAAGUAUUUUUCCUGUAUAUACAAAGUGUUUUUCCUUCUGUUAUGUGUAGAUAGUUCAAUUCUUUUUUUAUAAUCCCCUGUGGGGGUUUUGUACAUACUUAGGUUGCAGUGUUUAUGUUAGGCUUUAAUAAACUUGUUUUGUAAUUUUC